This 23-nucleotide unclassified non-coding RNA is filed under the name Mus musculus (house mouse). RNAcentral describes it as "oocyte_clustered_small_RNA12096". The record is from RNAcentral. Lineage: Eukaryota; Metazoa; Chordata; Mammalia; Rodentia; Muridae.
GUGCAGGCUUUUGCCGCAGUGGA